UGGUUACACACUCUUUCAUGACUUUGAAGAGAAAACGACCACCAAACCUCCGUUCUCAUACCCUCUUCAAUUCCCGCAACCACCGUAUGAGUAAACCCUAAUCCUAACUAAACCCUAACUUUAAAGCAUGGAAAUCAUUGUGAUUUGUCAGUAAUUGACAUCCAAUGAAGAAGGGGCCAUGCAAAGAAGGGGAUGUUGACUGCGUUGAAGUAUCGGUUCUCCGUCCAGAUCUUCCGAUCACAACUAUCUCUGUAUGAUUUUCCGAAUUUAGAAUUGUUGCUGUGACGUAUUUCGAAUUGUUUGUUUAGUUGUUUAGAGCUAUGGUACUCUUCGAUUGAUUACCUGUUCCGAAAGAUAAAGAGGUUUUAAUUUGUCACAGUUGAAGUUUGAUGUUGUUCAGGUUCGCAUAGAAACGAAUCUAGCUGCUAGAACCUGAUCACGCAUGAUAGUGGCAUGAGAGAACCCCAAACUAACAUUUGAGUAUGCAUUCGGUUUUGACAUGUCAAAAGGAAUAUAUACUAUAUCAUAUUAACAUGUUCAGAGUUGAUAUUAUCUGGUUAAAUGUCAAAAUAGGCCGAAUCUUUGUGAUAUGUGUGUGAUCACUUUCUUUUAUUCGGUUUCGCAAAACAAUAACUCAACAGACUUGGUGAAAUAUUGAAUUGCCACAAUCUUUUUCCAUUUAAUCAAAAUUAGAGGUGUAUGUA
Molecule: long non-coding RNA, 704 nt
Organism: Helianthus annuus (common sunflower)
Lineage: Eukaryota; Viridiplantae; Streptophyta; Magnoliopsida; Asterales; Asteraceae
Exons: 4
Source: RefSeq, a predicted model, not a curated record